This 460-nucleotide ribosomal RNA is filed under the name uncultured bacterium. RNAcentral's name for it is "partial 16S ribosomal RNA". It matches the Rfam family "Bacterial small subunit ribosomal RNA", at positions 338 to 795 of the family's 1533-position model. The record is from RNAcentral.
CCUACGGGGGGCAGCAGUGAGGAAUAUUGGUCAAUGGGCGCGAGACUGAACCAGCCAAGUAGCGUGAAGGAUGACUGCCCUACGGGUUGUAAACUUCUUUUAUAAAGGAAUAAAGUGAGGCACGUGUGCCUUUUUGUAUGUACUUUAUGAAUAAGGAUCGGCUAACUCCGUGCCAGCAGCCGCGGUAAUACGGAGGAUCCGAGCGUUAUCCGGAUUUAUUGGGUUUAAAGGGAGCGUAGAUGGGUUGUUAAGUCAGUUGUGAAAGUUUGCGGCUCAACCGUAAAAUUGCAAUUGAUACUGGCAGUCUUGAGUACAGUUGAGGUAGGCGGAAUUCGUGGUGUAGCGGUGAAAUGCUUAGAUAUCACGAAGAACUCCGAUUGCGAAGGCAGCUUACUAAACUGCCACUGACAUUGAUGCUCGAAAGUGUGGGUAUCAAACAGGAUUAGAUACCCUAGUAGUC